GACGAACGCUGGCGGCGUGCCUAAUACAUGCAAGUCGAACGCACUCUCGUUUAGAUUGCAGGCGUUUGCUCCUGAUUGCUAAACAUUUGAGUGAGUGGCGGACGGGUGAGUAACACGUGGGUAACCUGCCCUAAAGUGGGGGAUAACAUUUGGAAACAGAUGCUAAUACCGCAUAAAACCUAACACCGCAUGGUGUAGGGUUGAAAGAUGGUUCGGCUAUCACUUUAGGAUGGACCCGCGGUGCAUUAGUUAGUUGGUGAGGUAAAGGCUCACCAAGACCGUGAUGCAUAGCCGACCUGAGAGGGUAAUCGGCCACACUGGGACUGAGACACGGCCCAGACUCCUACGGGAGGCAGCAGUAGGGAAUCUUCCACAAUGGACGAAAGUCUGAUGGAGCAACGCCGCGUGAGUGAAGAAGGUUUUCGGAUCGUAAAACUCUGUUGUUGGAGAAGAAUGUAUCUGAUAGUAACUGAUCAGGUAGUGACGGUAUCCAACCAGAAAGCCACGGCUAACUACGUG
Molecule: ribosomal RNA, 519 nt
Filed under: uncultured bacterium
Lineage: Bacteria
Description: partial 16S ribosomal RNA
Rfam family: Bacterial small subunit ribosomal RNA
Source: RNAcentral